Molecule: ribosomal RNA, 164 nt
Filed under: Leucaena confertiflora var. adenotheloidea
Lineage: Eukaryota; Viridiplantae; Streptophyta; Magnoliopsida; Fabales; Fabaceae
Description: 5.8S ribosomal RNA
Rfam family: 5.8S ribosomal RNA (bases 1-107)
About the family: 5.8S ribosomal RNA (5.8S rRNA) is a component of the large subunit of the eukaryotic ribosome. It is transcribed by RNA polymerase I as part of the 45S precursor that also contains 18S and 28S rRNA.
Source: RNAcentral
GAAAUGCGAUACUUGGUGUGAAUUGCAGAAUCCCGUGAACCAUCAAGUCUUUAAACGGAAGUUACGCCCGACGCUAUUAGGCUGAGGGCACGACUGCCUGGGUGUCUCGCAACGUCGCCACCGCCCAUCCCAUGGGCGCAGCGGAUGAUGGUUUCCCAAGAGCC